GGCUCUGUGGCGCAAUGGAUAGCGCAUUGGACUUCUAAUUCAAAGGCUGUGGGUUCGAGUCCCACCAGAGUCA
Molecule: transfer RNA, 73 nt
Filed under: Gadus morhua (Atlantic cod)
Lineage: Eukaryota; Metazoa; Chordata; Actinopteri; Gadiformes; Gadidae
Description: tRNA-Arg (TCT) (tRNA-Arg-TCT-5-1)
Rfam family: tRNA
About the family: Transfer RNA (tRNA) molecules are approximately 80 nucleotides in length.
Source: RNAcentral